This 416-nucleotide unclassified non-coding RNA is filed under the name Hevea brasiliensis (rubber tree). The record is from RNAcentral. Lineage: Eukaryota; Viridiplantae; Streptophyta; Magnoliopsida; Malpighiales; Euphorbiaceae.
GUUGGUUUGUGUUUGUUAGUCAGUGCUGUCAGUGUUGCUCUAUGUGGGCAAUCAAGAUUUAUGGUGUUGUUUACAUUGUUCUUGUGCAUUAUUCACUCUUUAGUGUUUCUUUUUUUUCUCUCCAAUCCAUGUUAUACAUUGUCCACUCUGUAGGCAUUGCUUUUUCUUUUUAUAUUCGUUUGUUUGGCUGUAUGUGGUUGCAUUAUUUCCUGGAGCAUUGCAUGAUGGAGUCCAGGCUAUAAUAUUUGUCUUCAAAUGCUUAAUAUAAACUAUGCCCAACUUUAUUUUCAAUGGUAGAAAUGUGUAACAUUUAAACCUGGAGGAAAACUCAUUAAUUUCUUGCAGCUGUGCUUUUCUUGAUUUUUCUUCUAUUACUUUUCUCCAUUGCCUGUGGAAAUCUAAGCAAUGGGUUUUUU